Molecule: ribosomal RNA, 373 nt
Filed under: uncultured organism
Description: partial 16S ribosomal RNA
Rfam family: Bacterial small subunit ribosomal RNA
Source: RNAcentral
GUAGGUGGCAAGCGUUGUCCGGAAUUAUUGGGCGUAAAGCACGCGCAGGCGGUUCUUUAAGUCUGAUGUGAAAGCCCACGGCUCAACCGUGGAGGGUCAUUGGAAACUGGAGAACUUGAGUACAGAAGAGGAAAGCGGAAUUCCACGUGUAGCGGUGAAAUGCGUAGAGAUGUGGGGGAACACCAGUGGCGAAGGCGGCUUUCUGGUCUGUAACUGACGCUGAGGCGCGAAAGCGUGGGGAGCAAACAGGGAUUAGAUACCCUGGUAGUCCACGCCGUAAACGAUGAGUGCUAAGUGUUAGGGGGUUUCCGCCCCCUUAGUGCUGCAGCUAACGCAUUAAGCACUCCGCCUGGGGAGUACGGCCGCAAGGCUG